GAUUGAAUUUAACUGAAUUUUGCAUGUAAAUUUUUGUAUGAUUUGUAAAAAUUUAAAUAAUUUUUAUAAUUAAUUAAUUCACAGUAAAAAAAUUUAAAUAUUAAGUAAAUUUAGAUUUAGGUAUUGUUAUAAGUAUUAACAAAAUUUGUGCCAGCAGUUGCGGUUAUACAGAUAAUACAAUUUAAUUAAAUUUAGUUUUAAUAAUUAUUAUAGUAAAAUUUUAAUUUUAAAUUUAUUAGGUGAAAUUUUAAAUUUAAAAAAAAUUUUUUUUUAUAAGAUGUGAGAAAUUUUAAUUUUAGACUAGGAUUAGAUACCCUAUUAUUAUAAAAGUAAAAAAUUUUAAACUAGAUUAGUAUUAGUUAUGUUCUUAAAAAUUAAAAAUUUUGGCGGUAUUUUAGUCUAUUCAGAGGAACCUGUCCUAUAAUUGAUAAUCCACGAGUUAAUUAACUUUAAUUAUUAGUUUGUAUAUCGUCGUAAUUUGAAUAUUUUAAAAGAAUUAAAAUGUUCGAUUUUUUAUUAGAAAAAGAAUUCAGAUCAAGGUAUAGUUUAUAUUAAAGAAGUGAUGGGUUACAAUAAUAAUAAUUAGAAGGAUUAGAUAUUGAGAAUAUUUAUUAAUUUGGAUUUGAUAGUAAUAUUUUAAAAAUUUAAAAUAUGAUAUAAGCUCUAAAAUAUGUACAUAUCGCCCGUCGCUUUCAUUUUAAUGUGAAAUAAGUCGUAACAAAGUAGAUUUACCGGAAGGUGAGGCUAGAA
This 750-nucleotide non-coding RNA is filed under the name Morimospasma tuberculatum. Lineage: Eukaryota; Metazoa; Arthropoda; Insecta; Coleoptera; Cerambycidae. The record is from RNAcentral. RNAcentral also lists the same sequence under 1 other name.